This 468-nucleotide ribosomal RNA is filed under the name uncultured bacterium. RNAcentral's name for it is "partial 16S ribosomal RNA". It matches the Rfam family "Bacterial small subunit ribosomal RNA", at positions 28 to 507 of the family's 1533-position model. The record is from RNAcentral.
GACGAACGCUGGCGGCGUGCUUAACACAUGCAAGUCGAACGGAAAGGCCCUGCUUUUGUGGGGUGCUCGAGAGGCGAACGGGUGAGUAACACGUGAGUAACCUGCCCUUGACUGUGGGAUAACUUCAGGAAAAUGGGGCUAAUACCGGAUAGGAGCUCCUGCUGCAUGGGGGGGGUUGGAAAGUUUCGGCGGUUGGGGAUGGUCUCGCGGCUUAUCAGCUUGUUGGUGGGGUAGUGGCUGACCAAGGCUUUGACGGGUAGCCGGCCUGGGAGGUUGAACGGCCACCAUGCUCCUGCGAUACGCCCCAGACUCCUACGUGAGGCAGCAGUGGGGAAUAUUGCACAAUGGGCGCAAGCCUGUUGCAGCAACGCCGCGUGCGGGAUGCCGUCCUUCGGGUUGUAAACCGCUUUCGACUUUGACGAAGCGUGAGUGACGGUAAUGGGUAAAGAAGCACCGGCUAACUACGUG